Molecule: long non-coding RNA, 4130 nt
Organism: Oreochromis aureus
Lineage: Eukaryota; Metazoa; Chordata; Actinopteri; Cichliformes; Cichlidae
Source: Ensembl
UGGAGACUAUGAGCUGUUGCAGGGUGGGAUACACCCAGAAGAGACUACAAAUACGUCACAGGCCAUCAGUAUAACAAUGUUUCUUUCUACAUCAAUUAUUCCAUAUAUAGCAAAGAGAGCGAGAGAGAGAAAUGCCCCUCAUAGAUAUCUUCAAAAAUUUAUUCAGGUUUUGACACAAAAACUGCAUAGCGGUAAAAGUUUCCUACAUAAGCACAGCAGACUCAGUGUUGUCCCUCCAAUGAUAUUAUUGCCUGAAAUGUCAGGUAUGACACUUAACUGGCUUCUGGAAAGUGACUGAGUGAAUUAAACACAUCUGCUUUAUAGUACAUGCAGCAGGUAGUUCAUACUUUCUCUUAAUAAAACAUCAUUUUCAUACAUAUUUGAUAAAGCACAAGAAAAAAAAACAUCUUUAAUUUAAAACAGUUUUUUGAGCAAACGUGUUAACAAAUUUAUUAUUAUCUUUGAGAACUAAUGGAGUGAUAAGUCUCAUUAACUAUUAUCUACAGUAUUUGUACAGCACCAGAGUGACUGCUUUUUGUGACACCGCAGUCUUACUUGUGUGUUACAAAAAAAGCAGCCUUGAAUUUAAAUAAAUGACAUUAUCAUGCAGAAAAUAGUACAAUUUGUUAACAAAAUAUAUCCUUCCAAAACAAAACAACCUCAAACUGUAUUUUGUGGAAUUAGACUUUUUUAAAGAGUGUUAAACUGCACUCCAAUCCCAGAUGAAGUAUCUACAAGAAACCCAGCUAUUUUUUAUUCUCCUUGGAGAUCGCAGAUCAAUUACACGAAUUUGUCUGUAGUUUCAGAUAACUACCAACCAAUAAAAGAAUGAAAGACAAAUAUGACAGCAACACAUCAUAGUGAAAUACAGUGAAGCAAAAGUGUAAGUGUUGCACUACAGCUUUUCAGAAAAAAAAACAUGCAUAAGAAAAAGCAGAUCACUUGCUUUUAACAACACCAUCCAAACGCAUGUACUUAAAACAUAAUCAGGGACGUAGAGUAGUCAAGUUGAACUCAGCCUUACAACUGUAGGCUCACAUGAAUAUGUAUGAAGGACCUGGAGUUACAUUAGAUAGAGCUCUGAUGUUUUUGUGUGUUCCUUCUGGUUCGUUUUCUUGUAUGAGAUCACGGUUUAACUCACGUUAAAUUACAGUUAAUAACACUUUAAAACAUAAUUACAGCACAUAGCCACAGUUUAUGCUGUAAUUACUGUUUUAUAUGUUUUGAGGACCUUCAGAACACUGAGGCACCAGCAGACUACUGCUGAUACGCCCUUCUGGAAUAUGAUUAAUCAAAACACCAGUAAAAACCACAUUUUAAGGUGAUAACUUACUCCAACAAACACUUACACCACCUACAAUCAGUUGCAGCAGUACAUUAUGUCAGAUCUCAUUAGGCUUCUUUACCACUUCAGGACUGCUGACCUCACCCCUGGAGCGCAAUACUGAAACCUCAGGGAUACACUUCAUUUCAGACUUGUUUAUAAAAUGAGAGUUUACAAAAAACCCUUACAAUCAAUGUUCUGUUAAACUCAGGAAUAAAGAAAAAUGAAAUGAAAUAAACUAAAUAAAAACAAAGAAAAAGUCCAGAAACCAAUGGGUGAUGUCACACUGGCUAUGUUCAUCUUUUAGAUUGAGUCUAAGGAAAUCAAAACUGUUAUUUAUGUAACAAUAUCACAAAAAUUAUGGGCCUGCACCUAAAAGGGGCAGGACCUUCUUUAAUGUUGCAACACACUAGUUUUAGUCAAAAUGGCCACUGUGCGAUCUUUGGCAGCUAAUUAUUGGUAAAACAAGUGAUGAAAAUGUUCAGUUCAUAUCAGUAAACAUCACUUUAUUUAGAACUAACUCUUAAAAAAGAACAAGAAAAAUUUCUAAUUAUGUUAUUAAGCUGGAGGAUGAUUUUUUAGUUUGCAAUAAUUAAAUAGAAGUUUUCAAGUAACUUACUUUAAACUCACCUCUAAAAUUCAAUUUCUCGCUAAACACAGUUUGAGGCUUUAAAAAAAGCAUUAGGAUUAGCAAGUGCAAUGGUGAGUCGGCCCUACGGUUGAUAUCUCAUAGCCGAGGGGUCUGAAAAUAAUUUGCUUUAAAUUGAGUAAUCUGUGCUGCAUCAUUAAAAGUGGAUUUUAAUGAAUGGUAACAAUUUCACAGUUAAAAAAAUAUGAAUAUAUAUUGAGUCCAUUUUUAUCCCCAAAGUUGUCUUUGGGUUAAUGGAGAGUCUGAUAUCAAUGUGGUGCAUUGAGUCAGUUUGGUAGAAACUCCGUAACAACACUCAAGGACAGCAGAAAUGUUCUGCUGCAUAGUUUGGCGUAUUAGUUAGAUGACUACCUAGCAAGAUAGCAUAGGGAAAUAUCUGAGUCAGUCCACAACAACAAGUAACACGAGGUUCAAAGCAUCUUAACUGCUUUGAAUGUGGAUUAUGAGGGGAACCUUGGAAAACUUUCACCCCUCUAAGAGGUCCCUGGCCCUGAUAACUUCAAGAACCUCUGGUUGAGCCGCACUUCACUGCCAUACCUCAAAAACAAAAACAAAAAUCAAAUUUAAAAUAACAUCUUAAUAAUUGAUGUAGCUCAAUCCACAGGGUCAUAAUAUGUUAAAAAUGCAACAAUAUGAGUGCUUUGCGUUGUCUUUACUCUGGCCGUGAGUGUCAAAAGCAUUUUUUUAAAGCAUGGACUAGCUAUUAAAAACUAGUAGAUUUGUGUGUCUUUAGGAACUCACUCUGUUAAAAGGUGAAUGUGACAGCACAAUCUGGGCAAGAGUGGGUCAUAUCCCAGGAUUAAGCCCAGCUUAAAAACACCUUUUUUGGUUCUUUUCAUCAAGUUUUCAUUCAGUAAGACGGCGACAGAAAUCACUGGUGAUGCUCAGCAACAGUUUGGCAGUGUCAACAAGGCAGCCAUGUUGCUAUAAGGUACAAAACCAGAGCUAUGAAUGACUGAGGUAAAAAGAAAUAUGACAAGAUCAGACUUAAUAAAUAAGCUGAUGAUUAACACAAAUGACAUUCAUUCAGUGUAGCAGACAUCACAGUGUCUCAUGAGUUGGUCACAUCAAAGUUGUCCCUGCCUCUGAACAUGAGGAGCUGAUACUUGUAAGUAAUUAGAGGUCAUCUGUGAUAAAACACAUCAUUACAAGACAUUUACUAUCCAGGAAUUGCACUUCAUUUUUAAGAUAAAAGCACAGCAUUGCAAUCUUUGGCUUUAAAAGAAAAACAAAUCAAAAACAGGUUUUCUGAAUUUAUUACACCUAAUGAGGCGCCACAAAAACAUUGCUGAUUUUGCUGCAUACUCAUUUCCUGGCCAAUAAACCACCACUGGGAAGCCCACAGUCCCACAUACAAGCUGCUUCAAGUUACACAGAGAACCUAGACUAUUUAAUAAUUAUUGUAUAUACACAAGAAAAUGUAUUUUAAAAAAUCAUAUCCCCUUUUUCUUACUUAGCUUUAUGUUUCAUUUAAAUAUGUUUCUUAAUUGGAUGCAGGUUUAUUUAAUUUUGCAGCUCCAAUAUGUGUAAUGAGACUGCAUUGCAUUAUUGAGUUUGUAUUCAUACAGAUAUACAAAUCUUUUGGGCGCCUCUUGGAUGUUAGUAAAUAUCUAUUUUUUCAGAUUCUUCUAUAUUUUAUUCAUCUACUAGUCUACAGUAUUUCCAAUACACCACUUUAAGUGGAGUCACAAGUUAAAAUGUGGCAUGUAACAUAUUGAAAUGAACCUCUACAAAAAAAAAAAAAAAAACAUUAGCGGUGAAAGGUAAAUGGCCAACAGUUUCAUGCUAGAUGUGUUCAUAAUAUGUCAAGACAUAUGUGUCCAUCAAUCACAGCAUGCGCCUACGAUUGAUGAGGCUGAUGGAUGUUCAGUGACAGGGAUGCUGCUCGGAUCAAUGUGGGAGCUCCUGGGAUUUGACCCUCCAACAUUUGCAUUCUGUUCUAUUGCAGAUGCAGCAAAGCCGCAGAAACAAACACGGGGCAUGGUUACAGGAACUGAAAAUGCAGUUAUUUAUAUGAAAAAAUGGGAAAAAAUACUUUUCAAUUCAAUCUUAUUUUAUGUAAUGUAUUUGCUUGGGUUUACUAACAUUAACAUUCAAUUCAAUGUAAUAUAUUUUCCUGUUGCAAAUAAUCUUAGACAGUAAAACCUUGUCUUAAUA